This 1101-nucleotide long non-coding RNA is filed under the name Triticum aestivum (bread wheat). Its description in RNAcentral is "long non-coding RNA (TAES_LNC028209)". Lineage: Eukaryota; Viridiplantae; Streptophyta; Magnoliopsida; Poales; Poaceae. The record is from RNAcentral.
CUGAUGAGAGGAUGCAGCAAGCGGUGCAGCAGGCGGUGUUGGCACAAACUAGUCAAUGCUUUGCAAUGUUUGCGGUUAGUUCCUUAAUUGCCAAACACAUACAUAAUCUUCACUCAAUCAUAAUCUUCUACUACCAGUACUUAAUCUUCACUCAAACAUAAUUUGCAGGCUUAUUGUACCCAGAAUGGUAUGCCCGCUAUGCAGAUGCCUCAAUCAGGCCAUGGAUCUAAUGCUGAUGGAUCUUCACAUGCACGAGGCCCAAGCGACAACAACCUUGGUGGUUCUCCGAAUGUUUGAGAUCGAGUAUGGUUAGUGCGUACAUAUCUCAUUUACGUAGGUCUCAAAUUUGUCAACGUAGAAACAAGUAGCUAUCUUGAUUCUUGAAGAUCAAACUUAUAAGUAGAGACAAGUAGAUACCAUUUGAACCGUUUCAAACUAUAAUCCAUUUGAACAAUUUCAACCAUGAUCUUAAUUAAAUAUAUGCAUUCUUGAAGCUAUUUAUUUUCAUGAUUUAGAGAACACUUGAAGAUAUUCAUGAUUUAGAGACAAGUAGUUACUUAUUUUCAUGAUUUAGAAACCAUUUGAAGAUCUCCAUGAUUUAGAAACUUGUAAGUAGAGACCGUUUGAACCAUUUAAAGAUCAGACUUAUAAGUAAAGAUCUAGUGUUAAAUUAGCAUGUUCAAAAUUGGAUAAGUGUUCAAGAAACUCCAUAUGUACUAGAAGCUUUUUAUUUUGGAAACUCACUAUGGAAUAUGGAUCACUAUUUAUUUUGUAGUGUCGAAGUACUUUCUUUUGUCUAUUUGGCAUAUUGAUGAUUUCAAGCACGUUAUUUGACACACACCAUUCAAUCUUGUAGGUUGCCACCUGGAUGCUCUUUGGACUACGACAUGGACAUGAAGGCGUUUGUUGUAGUGCCAAAUCUUACGUAGUGAUGCCAUCUUUGUUCAUUGUGUAUUAUAUGCUGUGGAACUUUGUUUUGGGACUAUAUGCUAUGGAACUUUGUCCCGGGACUAUAUAUAUGCUAUGGAACUUUGUUUUGGGACUAUAUAUAUGCUAUGGAACUUUGUUUUGGGACUAUAUGCUAUGGAACUUUGUUUUGGG